CACGUAGGGCGCAAGCGUUGUCCGGAAUUAUUGGGCGUAAAGAGCUCGUAGGCGGUCUGUUGCGUCAGCUGUGAAAACUCGAGGCUCAACCUCGAGACGUCGGUUGAAACCAUCUGGCUAGAGUCCGGAAGAGGAGAGUGGAAUUCCCGGUGAUAGCGGUGAAAUGCGCAGAUAUCGGGGAAGAACACCCGUGGCGAAGGCGGCUCUCUGGGACGGUACUGACGCGUGAGACGCGAAAAGCGUGGGGAGCGAACAGG
RNAcentral lists this ribosomal RNA (257 nucleotides) under uncultured bacterium. RNAcentral's name for it is "partial 16S ribosomal RNA". It matches the Rfam family "Bacterial small subunit ribosomal RNA", at positions 524 to 776 of the family's 1533-position model. The record is from RNAcentral.